GGGCGAUUAGCUCAGUUGGGAGAGCGCCUGCCUUACAAGCAGGAUGUCGGCAGUUCAAGUCUGUCAUCGCCCACCA
Molecule: transfer RNA, 76 nt
Filed under: Bacillota bacterium
Lineage: Bacteria; Bacillati; Bacillota
Also listed under: 2 other names
Description: tRNA-Val
Rfam family: tRNA
About the family: Transfer RNA (tRNA) molecules are approximately 80 nucleotides in length.
Source: RNAcentral